CUUUUUUCCUCUGUAUUUAAAAUACAUGUAUUUUGCUAAUACGUUGCUGGAGGGGCAUUAUAAGGAGAUGGCAUUCGUAAGUUGUCUUUUUAGGUGCUCCUGGGGCAAGUAGUGAGACAAUGCUUUUUAUAUAGUACUUUAGUUAUGAAAUGUGCUGUGUGUAUAGCUAUUUGUGCAUUGCAUUUUCUCUUUUUAGCUCUCUCACACUGGAUCUUCUGUAGUUUUAAGAUAUAAACAUUUAAGACUGUUCUUCAUGACUGUCAAAUGAUUUUUUUUUUAAUUAUUUUUUUCUGUAGAGAGAUUGUUAUGGUGGGGGGAGGAAGUUCAGAUUUACAUUUUAUUAGUAGUCUGAAACAUUGUCCAGGGUUAGGUCUAUGUGUGGGAAAUGGAUUUUGUGACUUUAUUUGCAGUCUUGAUACUUUUGUUUUUCAGGUGUGGUAUAAAUUAGUGACUUCAGUAAUUAUUUUGGCUGUGGAACAAAACCUUACAGUUGAAGUUAGAUGCCUGUUAUGAUAUUAAUUAAAGGUUACUCAGUACUCAAUUCUGUGGGUGGUUUUGGAGUUAUUCUUGAAGCUUGUUGCAGGCCACUGAAGAUGUGCUAAAAUCAAAAUUUCCCGGAGGUUGUCUGUCUUGAUUUGAAGUAAUGAUUGAUUAGAGCAAAUGUGUAUGGCAUGUAUUAUUUUUACUGUCUAUUUGUAGGCUUUCACAUGUUCAGCAUGCUGUUCUUGCAGUAAAGAGGGCAGUAGUGUCUUUCCAACAGCUCUUUGGGUAAACAGAGUUUUCACUAAUUCUGCUGUACCGAGUGUGCUGUCUGAUCCAGUGUAAGACUUGGAGAAAAUAUAAGAUGUUUGACACUAUAAUCUGUUUUGCCUGCACUCUGAAAGUGUUAACUUGUUGAUCAUACUGUGAAGAGAAUUUCCCUGCACACUGAGGUAAUACAAGCUUUUCUUCAGUUCAGUAGAGGUAAAACACGUGCUUUUUUCCAAGAUAGGUGGUUCACUUGGAGGGGGGGACAAAAAGUUUUUGUUUUGGCAUUGCAGCCUAAUGUAAACAGAUGUUCAGGAAAGAAAGAAGGAUGUAUUCCCUUGUCCACAAGAAAGUGUUUCCAUAUUGACUCGAGAAUAUCAAAUCUGUAACAUUCCUGAAGCCUGUCAUCUUUUUUUUAUUCUGUCUUUGACAGAACUUAUCUAUAUACUUUCUCUAGAUACAUUUUAAAGAAAUGAGAUUAUUGGAUUAUAACUCUGUUCCUUUUUUUCUACUCACAGAAUGAAGUGGUGAGGAAGCUAGUUUUGUAGGACAUCUAAGUUGUUGGAAGAACAGUGUUUAUAGAGUGCAAGGAGUUUUGAAGAUGAGCUGUUGAAGCUGAUUUCCAGAUAUAACAGAGAGAAGAGUAACCUGACUUGAAUGGAGCAAUAUUUAUAUCUGUUGCGUCCCCUAAAGUUGAUAUUUUCUCCUAAUUAUUUUUUCAGGAUCUCAGCUUCAGACAACUUACAAAAUUGACAGCAAAAUUUGCAGCUAAGGCAAAACUGGGGGAAGAAGAUGAUAUAAUAAAUUACCAGAGGUUAGAAGUUUGAUUUUUAUUUGGCCCAUCGUACAUACUGGGUCUGACAUCUGUCUCAGUGAGAAAGCAACUUCCUUGGAAAGCAUAGAAGAGUGUGUGUAUGUGUGUGUCUGUGGCUGAAUCUUGAUAUGUUUCAUUUCUAGCAUUAAGUUUUCUGAUUCAUGGAAGAGUAAAUCAUGGAGCUUGUGUAUAUAUAGUUCUGAAAUGACUACAGCUAAUAGCUUGUCAUCCUUCAUUAUUUCAGCCCCAUUUUGGCACUGGUCCAAUACUCGGGUAUGGUCACAUUGCUAAAAUGCUGAGUGAAUUUGUAGCAUGGCCCCUGCUAGCUGGGGGCUUUCUCUGCUCUCACUAACUUUGCUGUCUAGCCAGUGGAUUCUCACUGCAGGUGUGUCCCUGUCAGCCCCCAUUCUGUGUUCAGGUCCUACAGCCUCCUCUCCAAGCAGCAUCUCCUGUCCCAUUUCAGUUAUCUGCUCCUUUGGAACACCCUCCUUUCCUUGGGCAUGUUUCCUAUCUCCUUAAAAAAAAAAAAAAAAAAAAAAAAAAAAAAGCAAUUGCCUGUCUAAUAAAAUGAUGUCACUUCAUGCAAAACAGAGCAAGAAAAAGUAGUUUAUUAAAAAAUAUCAGCUAGUUGCAGAUGGAGAGUUGUGCUGUACAAGCAAGAACUUCACCAUGGAAGGCAACUGUUCCUUCUCUUUGUUGUUGUUUCUGAGAUCUGUAAAUGCUGAGAGUGCUUCAGCUUACUGGAAAUUCUUUGAAUAGUUCGAUUUAAGAAUUGCCCACUUAAGCUUUAGUGUUCUUCUACUUUAUGAUCACGUGAAUUAACUUACAAGUACUUGUAGCGUGGAGAAGUUUUAAAAGAAAACUCUUCAGUGUUGCCAGAACAGGUGGAUUUUGUGUAAUAUUCUGUUUUCAUUAUUUUCCCCUGUUUUUUGCAUAUACAGAAGUCUUUACAUGAAGGAGCUUUUUUCCAAUGUGUUAGCAUAAAUUCAAACAUUAGAAUCAAAUGUUUUGAAAAGUUAUAACUGUGAAAACAGGUUUUAAUGCAGGAGGACUUAAGCAGCAAUUUUGUGUAUAUUUUUAAGAUGUUUUUGGGCAAGACCUUAAACUUACUGAAGCAUUAACAAAUCUUGUAAAACUAGUUGGGUGACUCUCUCAGGAAAUCUUUUUGUGAUAGUGUUUCUCUGCUGCUUAAAAGCUAUAUAUUAUUUCAGUUUCUGGGAAUGAACAAGUUCCUCUGUAGAAAGCACAAAAAAUGUAGCAGUCUAGAGAGAAGGAAAAACAGUGCAAAAUGGUAUUUAGGAAUUUUAAAAUGCUGAUUCUCUUAUUACUCAAUGCUUUGUAUUGUACCAAGAUUGAUUGUAAAAUAAAUUUGAAAUGGCAGAAAUCUUUUUUGCAAAAUUAAAGUUUGUGAUAAAAAUAUACUUUCCUGUGGGCUGACUUUGUACCAUGCCUAAUUGUGACCUUGUAGCUGAUGCGUUUUGAGCCUGCUUGUGAGAAUUCAGAGGCUAUAAUAGUUUUACUACUUUAAUACAAAUCCUUUUCAUUUUCACCAAAAUGGAAGAACAUGCAUCUUCCAACAAAUGGCAGAAAAGCAUUUUCCAAAAAUAACAGUCGGAUUAAUACUUCAUCUGACAGUUUCUUUCUGUAAAAAUAAAUAAAUAAAAGUGGUGGGGAAAGAUGUAUUUUGAAGUAAGAUAGAGGUUUUUGUACUCAGUACUAUUUAGAAUGAAUGAUACUAGUAACAGCUAAAGAGUUUACUAGGAAAGUUUUGCUAUAUUAGAAACUUCAUAAAUGGCAUAUACUUCUUGGAUUGAGGAACAUGGUCCAAUAUGAUGUACAGGGCUAGAGUCAACAACUCUAAUACAUUUCUGUUUCCUUUCCUGUUGUCAAAUUGUUUGAAAGAAGUGUUUAUUUGGUUGACAUUAACCUUUUUCCAGUUUGCACUUAAUUUUAAUCCAUUUUUCUCAAGUCCCUGAAAUUUCUUUUCUUAAAUGCUAAAACUCAAACUGAUGAAGCAAAACUGCUGUGGUCUUACUUAAAUGUAUAAUUAAGCAAGUUCCCUAUCAAUAGUGACAGCCACUGGCAGCAGACUUCUGUGACCAUUUAUUUUAACUUCUUAAAUGUAUCUAUUUCCCAGUGUUGAAUUGCUUCCUUAAUGACUAAUAAUUUCUGCUUGAUAAAUAACAUUUUGAAAAUACUGCAAAAUUUUCUUUGAGUGCUCCUAACACUUUGCAGUUACUCUAAAGUCUUUACAGCCCCAUACAAAGUUCAGCUGUUCAUUUCCUCCUAGUCUCUGCUGAACUGAUGUUAUGAAAUUCAGCUACUGAAUCCAUAGGUGAAUCAUGCCUUUGUAGUUUGGUUAAAGUCCAAUCCAAAAAUGUGCCUGCAAUGGUUUUUGUUUCUAAGGGCAUUACUGCCAAGAGGUUUCUAGUAUUUCUUCAUUAGAACUGGAUCACAAGUUCAGUUGCCACAAGAUCUACUCCUUGCUUCCCAGACUGUCAUGAGGUUUAAAGUACUCUUUCCUGAAAAUACAAUCAAGCUGUGCAACUUCUAAGAUAACUGAUUCAUCAGGAAAAAAGCUCAUCGGUUGUUAAGAACUAUAAUGGCAGAGAGAGAGGGGAAACAGAACAUUAAGAUACUGAGUAACGUGAUUUGCUCAUAUCUUAAAUAGCGUGUACAGUUUUGACUGCCUCAUUGCUUGAAGAAUAUAAUAAAGUGGAAAAAGUCAGUUUAAAAAAAAAAGGAUGAUACAAAACAUGAAAUGGUUUCUGUAUGAACAGCAACUGAGUAAGGCAGAACUAGAAAAGACUUGUUGGGGGGAGGUGACAGAGGUCUAUAAAACCAAGGAUUGCAUGGAGUUGGUGGAUAGGGAUUGUGUGUUCUCUCAGUCCAAAAACUAGGAACAUCAGACUAAACUAAUGGAGCUGUAUUCUGGCCAAAAAGAUGUGGUUCUUCAUGCAGUGAGUAAUACACCUGAGGAAGAGUUUGCCAAAUGUUGUAAAUACUAAAACUUCACAUGAGUUCAAGAUAUGACUAGACAAGUUCAAGGAGGAGAAAUUCAUUGAGGGUAACAAAAUGCAUACAAAUCAGAUCUGGUUCAGGAAAUCCUUGAAAGUAUUUGGAAACUGGGAAGGUAUUACAGGAGUAGCAUGUGUUUGCCCCAUUUUUAUUCUUCUUGGAGAUGUGCUUACGGGAACUUUUGGAGACAGGCUUGAUGGUUGAAUAGACCUUUGGUCUGACUUAGUAUGGUUGCUUUUAUAUUUGGGAGGCAUGUUUGAUAUACAUAGUUGCAAAUACAGAUCCCAAGACUUAGCACAGCCUCAAAAUACAUCUUUAUUUAACAAAUUUUAAAGGCUGAAGCCUCAGACAAACAGUCUGAGAGUGACCAAUUUCUUAAGUUCAGAACCUCCUCACUCAGCUCAUUCUGAGAAUGUAGUUAAGAAACAGCAGCUUGAUUAUCCCUGCUGCUGUAAAACCCAGCACUUCUCUUCCUGCCCAAAGUUUCCUGUUUGUGUCUCCUCCUUCCCUGAAUAUGUAAAGCUCACUUUAGAAAGUGUUGGUGUAACUACAAUCUUGCUGCUGACACCCAUCCAUUUCGCCAUACUCCAGCCACCUGUAAGCAAACCUGGCCAAACUCGGUUGCCAAGACCACAACUAGCUGUUGUCCUAAGAUCUAUUUUAGUAACAGCCCAUUAAGACUGAGUGACAUCCUGCAAACUGUAGCUGGAUGCAGAGAUGUUCAGUGAUAUGGGGUUUACUUAAAGCUCUGAUUUCCUAGCAGGGGUACCACGAUCCCAUGUAGUGAUUCCUGCCUCUGUUGCAAGGAUGGCUCUGCCGCUGACGUAGCAGCAGCUGAGCGCCUUCAAAAUACAGCCAAUGUUGAAAGGGAAAUUCAGUGCAGUUUCAAAACAGCAUGAUCUAAUUUGGGACUACUGCUGAAAUAGGCAGCCAUUCCCUCCUCUGCUUCCUUCCUUUGCUGCCGCCGGCUCCCCCUCUCUUGCGUUACCUAAAGAUCACACAACACUGUGGUGACUGUUACUGUAAGCCUAGCCUUCAGGGGAUUUGGAGGGCUUAUUCACUUUUUGGAUCAGUGAGCCAAUCUGUCUUGCCAGCAGCGGUUGGCAUAAAUGUGCAGGCUUUAAAAAAAAAAAAAGUCUGAGCAGCUUUUCAGAUGUGGUUUGUACCUGGGAUCAGGAGCUGGCUGGUGGAAGGGGGCUGCUUGGAGGUGGAGCCCUGCCGGGUCUGUCUCCUCGCGAGCCUGAGCUGCUCCCUGCUCUUGGAUGUUCUUGUGCAUAGCUGAGGGUGGCAGUGCUGGGAAAUAGAUUGCAAAACAGUUUUCCUAAUUCAUCAUCCGAAGCUAUUACUGGAGGUUUUUAAAUCUAACCUCUUUUGCCUUAACCCAUUGUAAUCCUAGAGGAGCAAGGCAUAAUUUAGGUAAGGCAGAUUGAUUAAAAAUGUUGCAGAUGGCUGCCAUCUCCUUCAGCUUUGUUCCCAGUUGUGAAUUUAACUCACUGAGGAUGAAGUGGUGUCAGUAGUGACACAUGCAGACGUGGGUCUUUGGAAGAUGAUCAGAAGUUCAGAGUUGUGAAUGGCAAGGUGAAAUUGGUGGCCUGAUAUAAAAUAUUAGGCAAACUAAUAUGGGGUUUGGACAGAUAAAGUGUUACAAGGUGAAUGAAAGUUUUUGUCAAAAUACAAGAUGUUACUUGAAACACUAUAAGGAAAAGUUCACUGGAAGAGUAAAAUCAAAAGGAAAAAAGACUAAACGUGAAACUUGACAGAACCCACUCAGAAAAUAAGAAAAGGACUUCAGAAAGAUAUAUUGCAAAAAUAACCAUGUGGCAAAAUAGAAGUAGGGAGAAGAUUUAUCUCCAGCCAAAGAAGAACAAUUUUACUAGAAGAAUGACUGACUCCUUGCAAGUUAACACUGGUAAAAAUGGAAUGUUUGUUCUGAGAGCUGUGGAAAGGUCACUGAAGGCUUUGGAGGAUUGUUUCAAUUAAUCCCUUUCUAUUUACUGUCUUGCUUCUUCCAGGAAGAACACUUAAUUAAAAAAAAAAAAGUUUGAAAAUAUUGCAAGACUGUCUCUUGGUCAAAAGAAUAAUAAUUUCUGGGAGUGGGAGAGAAAAUAUGCUAAUAUGGUGGUCGCUUUUUUUAAAUCGAAGUUUUUCCUUUAUCAAGAACAUAAAAAUUCCUCCUCCAAACUUGUAUUAGACAUUUGCAAGUUGAAGACUAAAUUUCAUUAGAGAAGAGAAUGGAGAAACUUGGAGAUGGGCGAGUUGGUAUCAGCUGGCAUUUUCUUUUGCGAAGUUGUACUGUGACAGUGUACUAUUUUCAACAUAUUUUUACUGCCAGUAUGAACCUAGAAAUAACUCCUAGGAAUAAUGAAACACUAAUUAAAUUGUUUGGGUUGAUGGUGAAAUUCCUUUUCUAAAUCAUGUCAUUGCAUGGUAGAGUUUAAUCUUUUCUACUGCGUAGCUGUGAUCCAAAGUUCAGAUGAAAAACAACUGGCAAACACACAAUAAGAUAUGGUUGAUGGGUUAGAGGAAAUUACAGGACCUCUUUGAUACCUGUUUGUUUAAUUGAGGGAGUCUAGGAAAGCUGGUCACUCCAGGAUACAGGAAACUGUGUGCUUUAUAGCUGCCUUCAGAUCGAGUAACUGUGUGCAUCUCUACUUGUGCCCUUAAAUACUGGUUAGUAAGUAUAUUGCAUUUCUGUUCUUCAGAGAGCAAAUCUAAUAGAUUUUUACAAAACUAACAGAUUUUUUUAAUUCAAAGACGUGUCCUUCAGGACUUCACCAUUUGAUUUGGUGGAAAGUAUCUUUUUUCUUUCAGUGUGCUUCAUCAGUUCAUUGGAUCUAACAAAAAGUCAGGGGACUGAAACCGAAACCCUUAAUUUUUAGCUGAAGGAGGAGGUUUAAAAGGGCAGCUCAUGUUAAAAAGAAAACCUUCUUUGAGAUGUGAUGUGCAUAGGAAAGUUUAUAGGUAUCAAGAGAACAAUAUGUAGUAGAGAUCUUAGCUAUGAAUUUUGAAGUGCAGUAUGAGCAUGUGAGUGAUCCACAUGGAAGAGAAGACAAGUCUUGGAGCUGAGGUAGAGCCCUAAGAAACAUCUCUUGUCAGGUCCUUGGAUGAUGACCCAUAACUGUACUUUGCCACUGACUGACUGCUCUUUUCUAGGUAUGACUGGGGUAUGAGAGGGCAGUUCUAGACACAUGAGCAACCAGGUUUUGAACUCAACAAAUGCUUCGUAAAUGUGCCAUACUGUCACUUCUGAGGGCCUUGUAGAUUAAUUCUAAAUUACUGUUGUAGAGAGAACAGAUGAUAAUUUCUUCUUAGGUUAUGGAAUCUGUGGAAUUGUUAGUUUUGCUAAAUUAUUAAAUAUAGUAUUUAUUUAGUUAUAUGAUAUAAUUUAAUUCACAGUAAAGUUGUUUUUGAGCAUUGUUGUUUUCCAGGAGAAAACAUGGGUGAUGUUAAGUUGUCACUCCUGUGCAUCUCAUUUUUUAUUUUCUUUCAGCUUUUACAUAAGCUUUCUUCUCUACUGUGAGUUUGACCCUACUCUGCGGUGUACGGUAGACUUUCUAACAACGCUGAAACAACUUACGCACCUACUUCUCUUUUCUCACAGUUGUAUUUUGUGGCAUAUCCCAAUUUACGUCAUUUCAGUGCAAGUGAUCCUGUGUGUGUGUAUUUUUCUAGUCUUAUUAUCCUUUAUUGAGGCAAGAUAAAAGCUGCUUGAGUUCUUCUAAAAUCCAUGUAAAUACAGUGUCAUGUCUGUAGAGAUAUGAGGCUGUUACGCAAUGAUGAGAGUGAGUGAGUGGAUACAACUCAGAUAUUAAGAUAUAAAAAUGUAUUUUUGUUUAUGAACAGCAGGUAUGACAGAGCAGGAAAAAAAAGCAUGAAAAGGGAAUUAGUUGAUUACAGAUGAGGCACUGCUGAGCAAGUUUUAAUAGAGAGCAAGAGUUUCCCUUGGAAGAAAUACGUUUUCAAGGAAGCUCAAGGUUGACUGGUUAGAUAUAGAUAGAGGUAUACAACUGCUGUGAAUUACAGACUCCUGAUACUUAAAGAGGCAUCAGAUUGAGUUCACUAUUACUGGAUGGUGCAAAAAGUUGCAUUAUGACAGUAGUGUUGCUUAAUACAGAGAUUUGGUUAUUAUAUUAUUGGAUAAUAUGAUUCUAAACAAGAAGAUAAAUUUGGUGAUGUAAUGAUUAAUGCUUACUUCUGUUUCAGUGCAGUAAAAAGUUUUUUCAGAGCUGAUCAUGAUUUAAAUUUUUCUGGUGUAAAUGCCACCAAGUUGCUGUUGAGGACAAUAAGGUUGCUAAUUUAGUUUCAUAAUCAUAACUUCUAUUGAAAUAGAAAGAAAGCAGCUAAAAAUCAGAAUCUGCAGUGCCUACUGUAGCCAAAUUAAAUGAUGCUACUCUUGACACAGGGCAGGAGGGAAGGCGAGCUAGCUGUGGGAUGGCUUCUUACAUUGGUGAGGAAAUAUGCUGAGGAAAGUGGGCAGAAGCAUGAUUUUCCUUUUUCCUCCUCCCUUCCCACCUGCAUGCUGUCAUUAUCUCUCCUUUUCAAUCAGUAUAACCCAAUCCCAAGUAUUCACUUUGACAGUUCCUUAAAUUGGCCUAAGUGCUGGAGAGUUGGUACCAGAAAGCAUCCCGAGCACAGAGACAUCAUGCGGUAGAGUUACUGUACUCUUCUGCAGAGGCUUAUUAACCCACAAGAUAUUUUUCAAAUGUAACCUUUUUUUUGCACUGUAGGAUGCAGUCUUGUGGUCCCCCUCCCAUAUACGUGGUCAGGGAUGGGGCGGAGAAAGAUUAUCAGUUUUAGAUAAAAAUAGUCUUUCUGGAAAAGAAAAUUGGAAAACCAUUUGUGGUUGAAAAACAACAUGUGUUUUUAUUGUCAGACUUGAUAGUGUUUAUUUCUUAAUUUCUGAUAUUUUUGGAGAAUGUCAGACUUCAAAACAUUGGUCUGGUAGCUUAAAAUUUUUGUGCGUUCUCUGGGGAUUGAAGUCUUCCUUCUCUUUAGCUUUGUUUUGUUUAGGAAAUUGUGCUAAAUCUUGAAAGCAUUUACUGUAAAAGUUCAUAUGCUCAGGCUUGAAAAAUCAUUAGAUUUUAACUAAUCAGCAUAAAAAGCGUUUGCUAAAUUUUGUCAAAGGCUUUGAAAUAAGGGGGUGAAACACUUGUUCACAAGGUGUAUGGUGAAAUUAACUUCUGACAUAUAUUUCAAAAAUAUUUUGUUUCAUUUUGUAUUUCUUUUCUAUUGAAGUUUUUGUAUUGUAUUCACACUGGCAAUACCUGGCUCCAGCUUGUUUUUCUGUUCUCUAAAUAGGUUAUAGCAUAUGUUUGCCUCUAUAGCUUUCUUUGUGUUUCCUGUUUUCCUGUUCUGACUCACUGUUUACCUGUACCUAAACAUUUCUGUGCCUCCCCUCAUAUGUCUUUCCUCUGUACAGAUACUGUAAAAUAUGUAGGCUCUAGUUGCUCUUUGUAUGCUGCAAGUAGGAAUUUAAACUGUUAAAUCUUUGCACUGUUAAUGUUUAGGUGGCCACCUACAUACAAGUAUUUCUAGAGCUUAUUUCUGGCUUUUUUUUCAUAGCUUUCUUGGAAAACAAGAGGGCUAAGACUAACUAGAUAUUGUUAUCUUCACUGUUUUCUUCUACGCUGCUAUACACCAACAGUGAAAACAAAUCCUAAUUCCUCUGCUUCUCUGGGUGUGCGAGUUACGUUGGAGGCUAGGGACAGCCAGCAAUGUACAGACCUCAGUGUUGCAUUGGUGCAUUUUGGAGUGUUGUCUUCAUAAACAUGCUUAUAUUCUUUAUAUAGGUAUAUUUUUUAGAGAAAAUCGGAAGUGUUGUUUGCUUAGAGGAAAAACUUUUGCUAUCCAUGAGCAAAUAAGCAAUUUUUUCUCAUCUCUGUGCCGUACUACUCCAAGAUGCCUUUCAUAACAAAGUUCUCACGGCACUGAGAAGGGAGAAUCAGAACAAGCUGGAUUUGCUGCUUUCUGGAAGAACUCCUACCUAUUGAAGGGUAUAUUGAAAAAAAAUCUAUGCAAAUUAGUCUGUAAUCUAAACAAAAGAUGCUGAAAUCUGUAUUGGGUCAAUGAAAGUUGAGAAGAAAUAUCAUUGUCUUAAAAUCGUUUGGUCAUGUGUUUUCUAGCUAUUAUGUUUUAUUCAUGUUGUUUUAAAAUAUCUCCAGCUCUCUGAAAUUAAUCAACUGCUGUAUUUUAAAUUAAUGUUAAUGUAUGUUAGUUUCUGUCCUGUGAUGUACAUGGGAGGAAAGAACUUAGAGCUGCAUCAGUGAUCUGCAAGAGGAAAGCAUAAAUUCUGUCUUACAUCUCUUGUUGGUAUCAGUUGGCUUUAAAUGUUGCACUCAUGUAUUUUAGUAAAAAUAAUUACCUACUUUUGCAAAGUAAUCUCGAAUUGCCUUAUUUAACCUGGUAUUAUUAACCUGGUAUUUUGUGUAGCUGCUAGUUGGUCAUACUGCCGUUAGGGGUGAACAUUACUAUUCAGAAGGUAUGGUAGCUUUGAUUUUGUGAGAAAGAUGUGAAUAUCUGGAAUUUGCCAAGAAACAUAACUUUAAGAAUGCCUGUGUAUACAAUCAAUCGGUAGUGAACUGAGGAAAGCCAGAAUGGCAGUGUUUAAUUGAGACUUUUAUUAUGAUUUCCUUUUAAUUUAAAUGGCAUCAUAGAAACCUGUUUUUUUCGCUCAGUCUUUAUUCAGUUCUCAGUUUUGAGAGACAGAUGGUUGAGGCACAACAGCAACUGACAGCAUAACAUGGUGUUUUGGAAACUGUCUAAAUAAGAGUUAUCUAUGAAUUUAACUUAAUUAUUUUUGAAGUUGUUUAAUUUCUUCCAGAUUAGUUUUAAGAUUAUUCAGGACAAAGUAUUCUUGGACCAAUGAAAUUUGUACUGUUUUGGUUCCUGUGUUAGGCGUGGAUCCGUUGUUUUCUUCUUUAGUAUGUCUUGUGGUAGCUUCAGGAAAAAACACAACUGCAGGAAUAUUUUGCUGUAGAGAAGGAGGAACAAGGGAAAUUACAUAGAGGCUGUCACUAAAAAGGAUGAAGAGAUCCCUUCUGGUGUGAAAAGCCUUGUCUUCUGCAUGCUGGUCAGCAGCAGCUUGAGAUGUGUCAGAUGUCACUUUUCUGGGCAAGCAGAGUUCUUCCAUACUGUUAGGCCAAUGAGUCACCUGCCUGAUGUUGAGUACUUUUAUACAGUCUUGGCAAAAUAAUACUUACGGGUGUUAAAAUAUGUAUUCAAAGUAGUGAAAUUGUGACAUGUGACAUUUCUUUAUCAAUAAAUGUAUCUGUUGUUUGUUUUUGUAAAUAAUGUGUUUGAAAGUGAAUGUGGCAGUAGCAGGGCACAGAGGAGAGGGAUGGAGGGUGGGUGUUAGCUGUUGGCUCAUAUUCAACUAGCUUCACAUUUACCUUGAAACUUGCCCUGUUGCACUGGAGAUAUGCAUGCUACUUCCACAACAGAAUUUGGCACAGUGUUAGCCUAGUGGUAUAGUACUUGCUUCUGGUUUGUUUAACUUAAGAUUAAAAAAAAAAAAAAAAAAAAAAAAAAA
Long non-coding RNA from Dromaius novaehollandiae (emu), 12107 nucleotides. RefSeq lists it as uncharacterized. NCBI's taxonomy places the organism in Eukaryota, Metazoa, Chordata, Aves, Casuariiformes, Dromaiidae. The transcript is spliced from 2 exons. The record is from RefSeq and is a predicted model, not a curated record.